RNAcentral lists this long non-coding RNA (469 nucleotides) under Homo sapiens (human). Its description in RNAcentral is "HSALNT0319455". Lineage: Eukaryota; Metazoa; Chordata; Mammalia; Primates; Hominidae. The record is from RNAcentral.
GGAGAGAACAUGUGGCAUUUUUUCUAUAAGGAGGAUGUCCACAGAAGUCUUCACUGAGUGAGUUAAACUGGAACGAGAAUUACAACAGUCAUCAUCUAAAGAAAGCAAGAGAAUAUUCUUUCAGAUACUGUGUACUGAUGAAACUGCUGACUCAGCUGGUCUGAAGGACCCCACUGGCACUGGCUGGUCUGAAGGACCCUGCUGAUCACAACUUGCCUGAAGGACCCUACUGACAUCAGCUGUUGUCCAAAGGACGCCACAAGAAACUGACUCACCAAAAAAUGCAUCCUGAUGAUUUCAUCCCCCUUAACCCGACCAAUCAACAACCCCAAAUCUACACAGCCCCUUUCCCUCCAUGAUUCCUACAAAACUCCAGCCCAGAACUCCUCAGGGAGAUGGAUUUGAAGGUCUCCUCCCUUCUACUUGCUUGAUGCCCUAUUAUUAUUAAACUCUUUGCUACAAACCCUGC